CCCUUGGCCCAUCUCUGGCUUGACUCCAAUGCCAUGCCUGCCUGCUGGGGCGGUGGGGCUAGCUCCAACCCCCUGACUGGCCUCUCAAGUGCACACCACCGCCUCUCCUGGGCAGUGGGGGAUAAAAACUCCCUAGCCUUUGGCCACAGGCACCCAGUCCAGUUAUAAUACUGUUCUGGGCUCCCCUGCAGAUGUUGUAAUAUCCUAAUUUCACAGGGGCAAAACACAGCUCUGAUUGACCCCUCAUCGGAAACUCACCUGGAACAACCACUUCCAGCCUCUCCGGGGGGGUGGCUCAAACCACAACACACUUCAGUUACUGGAGCCAAAAUUAACCAAAAGAUCUUUCACAUAAGAGCCAAUUUCUAUGGCAACUAGAGAGGACAAGGGAGACAUCAGAAUGACACAGCAAGAUAAAGAGGAUUGAAAAAGUAACAUG
Pipra filicauda (Wire-tailed manakin) is the source of this 439-nucleotide long non-coding RNA. RefSeq lists it as uncharacterized. The transcript has 3 exons. The record is from RefSeq and is a predicted model, not a curated record. Lineage: Eukaryota; Metazoa; Chordata; Aves; Passeriformes; Pipridae.